GCUUUAAUAGUUUAAAAAAACAUUGGUCUUGUAAACCAAAAUUGAAUAUGUACUUCUUAAAGCU
RNAcentral lists this transfer RNA (64 nucleotides) under Thalassina kelanang. RNAcentral's name for it is "tRNA-Thr". It matches the Rfam family "tRNA". From Rfam's summary of the family: Transfer RNA (tRNA) molecules are approximately 80 nucleotides in length. Their secondary structure includes four short double-helical elements and three loops (D, anti-codon, and T loops). The record is from RNAcentral. Lineage: Eukaryota; Metazoa; Arthropoda; Malacostraca; Decapoda; Thalassinidae.